CCCCGGGGCUUUGCACUGCUGCCAUUGGGGCGUGCUGCCGUGGUGCGGGCUCACGCAGCACCGGGCGCUGUGCAUUUCCCCUGCUUGGGUUGAUAAAAACUUCCACUCUGCAAAAUGAGUGGGAACGAGAGAAACCCGUGGGCGCCAGCAAGCAGAGAAACAAACGAAACCGAUCAACGGCCGUCGGAAGCUCCGCGAGCCGUCCUGCCCUCUCCUCCCUCCGCUGCCCCCCGUGCAGCCGUUGCCAGGACGCGCCAUGGCGGAGCAGGAGCUGGCCGCGCUGCCCCUGCCGCAGCUCCGGGACCGCCUGGAGCAGAAGCGCCAUGCCAACGACUUACUGAAAGUCAAGGUGGAGUUAUUUCAGAACCAGUACCACAAGAUGAAGCUGAGCAGCACGGACCUCCCACAGCACAGCUCCCCACCAGAGAUGGUACCCAUACUGACACGUGGCAGGUCCAGAUCCAGGCUGCGCAGUUCAUCGGCCUACUUUGGAGCCCUGACAGUGGAGCAGAAAUGUGAGCUGGCUGAGCGGGAGCUGCUGGACGUGAAAAGUGACAUUCAGAAGAUGGAGGAGGAUUCGGAGGAGACCUUGCAUGACCUCGAGGCAGUCAUACAAGAAGCAGAUGCUUGGUGGGCUGAUGUUAAGAAAGUUGUCAAUGACUUUGAGGAAGACAUUGUCAAAACCAUCUCCAACGAGAAAGGGAGCAUCACAGCUUCUGAGAAGCUGUUGAGAUACCUGGAGGAGAAGAACCACCAGAGGGAUCUGAUGAGACAGAAGCUGCGCUUAGAAAGCAAUUUUCUCAGGAGCUACAAGAAGAAGCUGCAGCAGCAGCUCAGGCAGAAGGAGCAGGUGGGAGACAUGCUCCAUGAGGUCCAUGCAGAGCUGCUGCAGGUUAAGAAAGCACAGUAUGAGGAGGAGAUUGAUGAGAAGAACAAGGAGCUGCAGCAGCUAAAGCUGGCCUUAGAGAAGAUCCAGAUCCUCAACUUCUGGAAGAAAAAGCUGCACAAUGCCAUGGAAACAUCUGCAGUUCUGAUGAAAGACAUCUCCCAGAGGAAAGGGAUGCUGGAGAAGAUCGAAAGAAAUACUACUCUUGUGAAGGAGCAACAAGCCAAAGAGGAAAGACUCAUUGGGUGGCUGCAGAAGCAGCUGUCAGACUACAGCACCCCUCCUGUGAUGAAUUACGUGCAGACAAUGAUUGCUGUUGCUGACCUGGAAAAGAGUAUCAAGGCUUGGGAGAGGAAGGUGGCAAUUGCUGAGAUGACCUUGCAAAGCCACCACAGAGCAUGGAACCAAGUCAAGAUGUCUGGUAACCUGCACCUGCCUUGUGUGAUGCUUCCGGGCAAGCAGCGGAAGCUGCAGGGGGAGCCGGCCUUGUGGGGAAAAGUGCUAUCAAAUGGGUAACUGUAGCACCCUGAGAGGUGCAGGGGGCUGAAACCACUUGUGCAUGAAAUGAUAAAUUAACCACAGCUCUGUUGUGAGUCUACCUCUUCAGUCAGUCCCAGCACAGCUUUCAAGUGCAGUUGCUCUUGGAGACAGGAAGCAUCUCCUCACUGUGGGAGAAGUAAAUCCCAAGUCGCCCAUCCUUAGAUGAGUUUGGGGAUUCACUUUUCAUCCUUGGGGUUGAAAUCGCCUUCCUGAAAUACCACUGCUGCCUGUGUAGAGGUCUCUUCUCAUUCUGUGAGUGGAGGCUGCAGCUCAGCUUGUGCCCUGACAAUCUACUCCUGCCCUCUCAGUUGUGGCCAAGAUCCCUGCUGCAGUGGGACACCAGGGCAUGCAGGAACGGCCUAUAGCACCUCAUGCCACUGUCACUGAGAAUGGCCUUCAGGAGCCAUAUCUCAGUUCCUUUAGUCUGGCACCUCACAGGGUUUCCAGGGUCACCUUUUAGGAGAAAAAGCCAGGUUGUGUUACAGCAGCCCCACUGCUCUCCCAUCUCAUGGAAUUCAGCGGAAUCCACAAUUUCUUAUUCUUCGCUCUGUAUCCAGAUGGAGUUUUUCAUCCUUCAUAGAUUCUUCCAUACAAAAGACAAGGUUGCUUCAGACUUGGGGUUGUAUUGCACACUGUGUGUUGUGUAGAAGGAAGAUAGGUGGCAGCUGGGUUCUGAGCAGGGCAGAGAAGUAGUGUCCACACAGAGUCCUUCAAGCAGGAGAUGACGUAUGAGCCAUGGAAGUAUGGCAACAAUGUCAGAGGGGCACCCAGGGCCAGGCUGAUCCACAGCAGUGUGUUAUGGUAGCAGCCAUCGAAAAGCAGUUUUGGCAGGCAGGAGAGUGAGGUCUGUCUGGAAAAGCAAACAGCAGUCACUAACAGGGGUCUGCUCGUGUGGUUGUACCAUUCUCUAAGGGGCAAGCAUGCCCUUGGCUAACGGACAGAUCCAUACUGCAUUUGUUUUUCUAUUAUAAGGAUGAGAACUCAAUUUAUUUCUAAUGUGUGCCCUUGCCAAAGGGCUCUGUGUUUAUGUGCUUCAUAACAGAACAAUUAAAAACCCCAUUAAUACUAAAAUCUUAGUGGGCUUGCAUAGAAAGAAGAAAGAACGGGUCGUCCGCAUAGAGCCAAAAGUAGCUAAAUUUAGAGGCGUAUCAUAGGAAUGGAAAGACUUUGAAAUUAUUUUCAAAGGCCUGAAAGAGAUGAGAUAGGAAGGAUUAUAGAAUGCCACAGGUUUUGUGUUCAGAAGCCAUCGCGGUUGGAUAGACCAUUACAUGAAGGCAGUCUGCUCUCGGACAAUACUCAAAAGCUUUCAGACCAGCAGCAGGCUCAGUGCAGCUCGGGUGACAGAGCCUGACCUCACUGGGCUGGUUAUGAAACCUUCUGGGCUCUGGUCUCAUCUGCUGAGAAAGAUUUGAUGGGAAGGACAAGUAUAAAUGGCUCAAGGAUCUGGUUGCUGUUUUCUCACCUCUGGAGAAUCAAGGAGAUGUUUUCCUGAUGGACUUACAUACAAGGGGUUCUGCAUGCAGGGCUUUUUUUUGUAAUGUUUUGGUGACACAAAUGAAGGAUGCUCUUCACUUUACGUUAAGAAUUCCAUUGCCAAACAGCACUUCAUUCUGAAACCAGCAUUUGCAGUCCUGCCUGUCUUACUUAGGCCAGAAGGUCAAAAUAGAUGGUUUUAACUAUUAUCUUAAACUACAGACCAAGGGCACUGAAAACAAGCAACUCAUUUGUUUUCUCCUUUUUGGAUGCCGUGAAAAUAACUAAAGGCAUUUAGAAUCUUUAAAUUUGUUUGGCUUCCUAUUUAGGUAGCCUUGGGAGCCUAAUUUUAUGUAUUGCUUUUCCAAGCUUGGCAGAUGAGGCAGACAGCAGGUCUACAUUUGUGGCUUUGCAGUCACAGGCGGAGUGUCACAGAUAUUUUCUCUCCUGAGCACAUAAAAGGCUCAGCAUUGACUGUGGCCAGGUAGUAAAACAGCAGCAGUAAUGACUUGUGUCCCACUUAGUGGCUUCCAAUGGGCGGACAGUGACGUCUCUCUCCUGGAGGCUUUUGGACUAAAGAACAUGAUCAUUCCUUGCUGAAUCUGCACAUGAAACACUUGGAACAUCCCGACUCCAUCCCUCCCUCGAGAAGAGCCAAGGUUCAGCUUAGUGGGACCAGAGUGCUAUUUCUGAAGAGCCUAUUCCCAGCAGCACAAACUACAUGCCUACAGAAAGUUUGAAGCUUUUAAUUUAAUAAAGUCAUUUCAUGUC
RNA transcript from Centrocercus urophasianus (Greater sage-grouse), 3670 nucleotides. It is a transcript of the gene named coiled-coil domain containing 113, with no coding region annotated. NCBI's taxonomy places the organism in Eukaryota, Metazoa, Chordata, Aves, Galliformes, Phasianidae. The transcript is spliced from 10 exons. The record is from RefSeq and is a predicted model, not a curated record.